This 680-nucleotide ribosomal RNA is filed under the name uncultured bacterium. Its description in RNAcentral is "bacterial SSU rRNA". It matches the Rfam family "Bacterial small subunit ribosomal RNA", at positions 76 to 755 of the family's 1533-position model. The record is from RNAcentral.
UUGCUUUCUUUGCUGGCGACCGGCGCACGGGUGAGUAACACGUAUCCAACCUGCCCUUUACUCGGGGAUAGCCUUUCGAAAGAAAGAUUAAUACCCGAUAGCAUAAUGAUUCCGCAUGGUUUCAUUAUUAAAGGAUUCCGGUAAAGGAUGGGGAUGCGUUCCAUUAGGUUGUUGGUGAGGUAACGGCUCACCAAGCCUUCGAUGGAUAGGGGUUCUGAGAGGAAGGUCCCCCACAUUGGAACUGAGACACGGUCCAAACUCCUACGGGAGGCAGCAGUGAGGAAUAUUGGUCAAUGGGCGCCAGCCUGAACCAGCCAAGUAGCGUGAAGGAUGAAGGCUCUAUGGGUCGUAAACUUCUUUUAUAUAAGAAUAAAGUGCAGUAUGUAUACUGUUUUGUAUGUACUAUAUGAAUAAGGAUCGGCUAACUCCGUGCCAGCAGCCGCGGUAAUACGGAGGAUCCGAGCGUUAUCCGGAUUUAUUGGGUUUAAAGGGAGCGUAGGUGGACUGGUAAGUCAGUUGUGAAAGUUUGCGGCUCAACCGUAAAAUUGCAGUUGAUACUGUCAGUCUUGAGUACAGUAGAGGUGGGCGGAAUUCGUGGUGUAGCGGUGAAAUGCUUAGAUAUCACGAAGAACUCCGAUUGCGAAGGCAGCUCACUGGACUGCAGCUGACACUGAUGCUCG